RNAcentral lists this ribosomal RNA (472 nucleotides) under uncultured bacterium. RNAcentral's name for it is "bacterial SSU rRNA". It matches the Rfam family "Bacterial small subunit ribosomal RNA", at positions 791 to 1274 of the family's 1533-position model. The record is from RNAcentral.
UAGUCCACGCCGUAAACGAUGUUCGUUAACUGGUGGGAUGACUCACUGGUGCAGCUAACGCAUUAAACGAACCGCCUGAGUAGUAUGCGCGCAAGCGUGAAACUUAAAGGAAUUGACGGGGACCCGCACAAGCGGUGGAGCAUGUGGUUUAAUUUGAAGAUACGCGGAGAACCUUACCCUCUCUUGACAUCCCCUGCAAAGGCAUAGAGAUAUGUUGGAGGUUAACAGGGUGACAGAUGGUGCAUGGUUGUCGUCAGCUCGUGUCGUGAGAUGUUCGGUUAAGUCCGGCAACGAGCGCAACCCCUAUCCUUAGUUACUAACAUUAAGUUGAGGACUCUGAGGAGACUGCCUGGGUAACCAGGAGGAAGGUGGGGACGACGUCAAAUCAUCAUGCCUCUUACGAGAGGGGGCUACACACGUGCUACAAUGGACGGUACAAUGGGGAUGCGACCUGGUGACAGUGAGCUAACCU